Molecule: ribosomal RNA, 399 nt
Filed under: uncultured bacterium
Lineage: Bacteria
Description: partial 16S ribosomal RNA
Rfam family: Bacterial small subunit ribosomal RNA
Source: RNAcentral
AAUAUUGCGCAAUGGGGGAAACCCUGACGCAGCAACGCCGCGUGAAGGAUGAAGGUUUUCGGAUCGUAAACUUCUUUGAUGAGGGACGAAGAAUGACGGUACCCUAGGAGGAAGCCCCGGCUAACUACGUGCCAGCAGCCGCGGUAAUACGUAGGGGGCGAGCGUUGUCCGGAAUUAUUGGGCGUAAAGGGUUCGUAGGCGGUCUUUUAAGUCAGAUGUGAAAGGUCACGGCUCAACCGUGGUAAGCAUUUGAAACUGAGAGACUUGAGUUAAGGAGAGGAAAGUGGAAUUCCUAGUGUAGCGGUGAAAUGCGUAGAUAUUAGGAGGAAUACCAGUGGCGAAGGCGACUUUCUGGACUUAAACUGACGCUGAGGAACGAAAGCGUGGGGAGCAAACAGG